Molecule: ribosomal RNA, 469 nt
Filed under: uncultured bacterium
Lineage: Bacteria
Description: bacterial SSU rRNA
Rfam family: Bacterial small subunit ribosomal RNA
Source: RNAcentral
UGGCUCAGAACGAACGCUGGCGGCAGGUCUUAGGCAUGCAAGUCGAACGGAUGACAAGGGAGCUGCUUCCUGAAGUCAGUGGCGCACGAGUGAGUAACGCGUAGGAAACUGCCCUUCACUGGGGAAUAACGUUUGGAAACGAACGCUAAUACCGCAUACGCCCGCAAGGGGAAAGAUUUAUCGGUGAUGGAUGUGCCCGCGUUGGAUUAGCUAGUUGGUGGGGUAAUGGCCUACCAAGGCGAUGAUCCAUAGCUGGUCUGAGAGGACGAUCAGCCACGCUGGAACUGAGACACGGUCCAGACUCCUACGGGAGGCAGCAGCUAAGAAUAUUGGGCAAUGGAGGAAACUCUGAACCCCCGGCCAUGCCGCGUGAAUGAAGAAGGCCUUCGGGUUGUAAAGUUCUUUUAGUCAUGAAGAUGAUGACAGUAGUGACAGAAAAAGCACCGGCUAACUUCGUGCCAGCCGCCGC